RNAcentral lists this ribosomal RNA (253 nucleotides) under uncultured bacterium. RNAcentral describes it as "partial 16S ribosomal RNA". It matches the Rfam family "Archaeal small subunit ribosomal RNA", at positions 474 to 727 of the family's 1478-position model. The record is from RNAcentral.
UACCAGCACCCCGAGUGGUCGGGACGUUUAUUGGGCCUAAAGCAUCCGUAGCCGGUUCUACAAGUCUUCCGUUAAAUCCAGCUGCUUAACAGAUGGGCUGCGGAAGAUACUAUGGAGCUAGGAGGCGGGAGAGGCAAGCGGUACUCGAUGGGUAGGGGUAAAAUCCGUUGAUCCAUUGAAGACCACCAGUGGCGAAGGCGGCUUGCCAGAACGCGCUCGACGGUGAGGGAUGAAGGCUGGGGGAGCAAACCGG